Prosopis cineraria is the source of this 4025-nucleotide long non-coding RNA. RefSeq lists it as uncharacterized. The record is from RefSeq and is a predicted model, not a curated record. The transcript has 3 exons. Lineage: Eukaryota; Viridiplantae; Streptophyta; Magnoliopsida; Fabales; Fabaceae.
CAGACCCAAAGGCGCUAGAUCCAUUUUUGGUUUCGCACUCCAGCUCGUGAGGGCCACCUCUCCUUCCUCCCGACUAUCAUUGGGCUGACGGCCACCUCUUCUUCUCUAUCCAUGACGGCACACCUUCGAUCUGCACCGCUUGACAUAUUCAAGCUUUGAUUUGCCUCAUCUCCACCGCGUUAGCAGUCAAAGGCUCAGAGCAAUCUUGUCCUCACUCCCCCCGGCCUUCAUUCCCUCUCCAGAUUACGGCCUCUCGAGUUUCUACCCUGUUUUGAUAUCUCCUUAUCUUGUAUCUAUAUUUUGACUCUUUAUUAUGCUAUUUUUGAUAAUAUACGGGUGAUCGGCCUUGCUGAUUUGAAAUGAUUUAAUCCUUUGAAUAUUGCAAUCUAAUCAACUGCUCGGAUUGGUCCUUCUUUUUCCUUUUUCCUUUUCUAUUUAUGUUGCAUCUGAUUUCGAUUGCGAUUUUAUUAAUUAGCUUUGGAGACCCAAGAAUCUGAGUUCUAUUUCCUUUUUGCUGCUGGGUGCUUACCUAAAAUUUGUAAUCUGGUUCUAAAUAUUUGAAAGCGUAGAAGAGUAAACAUUCCACUAUGACAUAGUUCAACUGUUCAAUAUCCGGGAGUUUUUUUUUUUAAUUAUUAUUCUUGCAUUCAUUGACUAAAUCCUCAUUCAUGGAAUGUUAUUCUUAUAUCAUGUGUUAAUUACUAAAAUAAGAAAUUGUUUAUUGGCUAGUAUCAACUUGACUGCUUUCUUCAAGUUAUAGUUUUUCAUCCACAACUUGGAGAUAAGCUGAUACUUAUAUUUCUAUCUCAAUUGCUUCAAUCACCUUAGCUUUGUCAGGACUCUAGUUAUAAAAUGGAGUAGUCUGUUUCUAAGCCUCUGUUAAGUAAAUCUGACUUGGUUUUAUUCAUGUUUCAUGAGUCCUAGAAGGUUGCUGAGUUUGUAUUUAUGAAUUUUCAAUUAAUUGAAACUCGAACCUGACUUGGUUUCAUUCAUGUUUUAUGGUUCUUAGAAGGUUGCUGAGUUUGUAUUUAUGAAUUUUCAAUUAAUUGAAACUCUGGUUUGAGUUUUUGUUUGCAGCUAAGUAUGUUUGCUUAACUUAUGAGCUAAAGGUAUAUAUAGAUAUGUAAAGCUGUUCCUAUUUCUUUUCUGCUUUGACCUUUUGAAAUCUUCUAUUAUAGAUGUGAUUCCUUCUCGUAAAGCCAUGCUCCUCUAAAUAUAUGUUGUAAUGAAGGCAAUGCCUUGGUACAAUGACACUACAUAUAAGUAUGACAUUUUGAAGCUUGAAAUCAGGGACAGACAUGAACUGGAAUUAGACUUCAAGAGAUUUUGGGAAGAGUUUAGGUCAUCCAACUCUGAGAAGGAAAAAGAAGUAGCCUUGGAUCAGACUGUUGAUGCACUUUGUAGAUUUACAAAGCAACACAUUAACACAGCUUGGUUAUUUACCAUGUAAAGAAAAUGAUUUUUUUAUCUUUGCAUUGCUAUAUGCAUUCAAUUGUUUGAAACAAGCGAAUAGGUAACAAGUAGAACCUAGGGAAGUUUAAGCGUACAUUUUUGAAUUUAUUCCUACUGUGUGUGGGAUUUUGUAAUGAAGGGGAAAUGAUAAAUUAUUUAUAUGAGGUGUUACUGAUAAGCCCACGUGAUUUGUUUCAUACUUGAAAAUAGAUAAUUUCUUUGUUUCCUCCCUUUUCUCUUUACUUUUGUUCAAUGUUUGUGCAUUUCUUCUUAAUUUUCUUAUUUCCAAGCAUUAGUGCCAUGCCUAAUAUUUAGUGUCCAUGUUAAGAACUUUGAGGCAGGAGCAGGGUGGCAAUCAUGAAAUACAUUGUUCUAAGGAAAGAAGUAGAGCAGCUUGGAAGAUUGUUGAGGAGGACUUUUUACGUCACUUUUUAAAAGUGACGUGGUUUGCAGACAACCCAAAAGCGUCAUGGUUUCCCUUAUUCAUGUCCCUUCUAAAAGUGACAUGAAUAAGGUAAUUUUUCAUGUUCCUUAAUAUUGUGUUCCAUCCAAUAGUGACGUGAAAAGGUUUAAAAAUGUGAUGUUAAAAGUGUUUUUUGUAGCAGUGUUGGUUCAAAUUACCUAUCACAACAUGAUCAAAUUUAAUUUUUCAAUAAAAUUUUAUAAAUAUUUUAAUUUGAUAAUUUGAAUGUUUAUUGUGAUAAUCGAUGAUGUAUUCACUUAUUAUGCUAAUCUGCUUCAAUCCAACAGCAUUAAAUCUUUAAGAUCUGUUAAAUUAGUAAAACAUGGAAUAUAUUCAAUCCUAUUUAUCAAAAAAUAAAAGCAAAAAAAAAAAAGUUUGACAGAAUACAAAAUUCAACUAGCUAAUCAUGAAGCCCCGAGGCAAAGAAGGAAGAACAAUGAGAAAUAAAGAGAUGAGUGGGAGAGUUAGUGUGACAGAGAGUGCUAGGGUUAGUACUGGUGUGAGUUCGAGGGUUACAGGGGAGUCUUCAGGGAAGAUGAAUUCCGAUCAUUUGAUUGAAGAGGAGAAAGACGUGCUGGUUAGGAGCCCUAAGAAACUGAAUGAAGAUACAAUUAUGAGGGAUGCUAUGGGAACCCCCAAGAAGAAAAUGAAGAACAAAGGGAAUGCUUAUAACCCAUAGAUCUCUUACAAGGCGUCGUUGAUAGACAGUUAACCCUAAGAAGAAGAAUAGACUCUCGAAGAGUUGGUUAAGGAAUGGUUGAAAGAGGAAGAGUAGAUGGCGCCGAGCUUAACCCCAAAACAAGCAGCUAUGGAAACUCUACCUAAAGUGGAUGUUCUUGAUGAACGAUGGGUAGAGCUAUGUAGGCCGUGGAAAGACGCUCUAGUUAUCACAUUACUAGGUAGACAACGUAACAGGUAUCAAAUAAAGGACAAGCUUGAUCUUUUAUGGGGGUUUAAGGAUUAUGAAAUCAUAGACAUGCUUAAUAACUACUUCAUCAUCAGAUUUACGCUUAUGCAUCAUUGUAAGUUAGCACUGACAGAGGGGCUGUGGGUCAUUCAAGGCCAUUACAUGGCAAUUCAGAAGUGGAGUUCAAAUUUCAAUCCCUUUAGUAACACAAUGAAGAAACUCGUUGUUUGUGCAAGGGUCCCAAUUCUUCCCAUUCACUAAUAUAAUGUGGAGAUUCUUAAAGAACCAGGGAAUCUAAUAUGAGGCUACAGGUUGAAUAUAAUUUAAAGAAAGUUAACUAAUGUGCGUCCUGUGUGUGUAGUAUAGUAGAGACUCAAUCAUGUGUUAACAAAAUGAAUGCUUGAAUUGUGCCCAAAAACUAAAAAACAAAACAAAAGAAUGCUCGAUUUUUAUUUUACUUGAGUACUGCACAACAAAUCAAGGUCUUAGUUGAAAGAUAACUAACUUAAAUAUUCAUCAUCUUAUUAAAAAGGGGGGGUGGUUUACAUAUUGAUGAAAACUAGCUUGGGGGAGGAAAAAUUAUAUCAAAUUAAACACCAUACUUUAUAUUUAUUUUUAUUGAUGCCAUAUUAGUUCAUAUGUCAUUUCUUUAUCACAUAAUAGAAUGCAUUCCUAGUACAAAAAAAUUCCAUUUACAACCUCCGUUACUAAUUGAAAAAAUAUUAAUCCAUUACUACAAUAUCAUGGAAUAAAGCAUAAAAAGGAUAUCAAAAUAGGUGCAUAACAUCUCAUUAGCCCAAGUUGCUAAAGAUCUAUCUCUAAACAAUAUUCACAGUUGUUCUUCAACCAAUAUUUUGAUGAUCAUGGAUGUUUUAAAGAUCCUUUGAAAAUGUCACAUACCAUGCUUUUACUUUCCCGAAUGAUGCAUUAGAAGAUUAUGCAUAAAUGUUGAUCAACGAUAGUGAUUAAUUCUUAUACUAAUUUAUUGAUUGUAGGAUUUGCUUGUAUAGCAUCUUUUGUACAAAUAAAUUAAAACUGUUAGUCUUUUAUUUAUGAUAUUACAUUCGACAAUUUUUUUAUUUUAAAUACAAUGUCUUCAUCUAUAUUGUGCAUAUAUUUUCAAUUUAAUUAAAUGUAAUGCCUUUACUUUAUAAUUUAAGAACUUUUUAUUUUUAUUAUACUCAUACAACUAUUUUAUUUUGA